This is a non-coding RNA of Triticum aestivum (bread wheat), 134 nucleotides long. Lineage: Eukaryota; Viridiplantae; Streptophyta; Magnoliopsida; Poales; Poaceae. The record is from Rfam.
GUAGUACUCCCUCCGUCCGGAAAUACUUGUCAUCAAAAUGAAUAAAAGGGGAUGUAUCUAGAUGUAUAAUAGUUCUAGAUACAUCUUUUUUAACCAUUCCGAUGACAAGUAUUUUCGGACGGUGGGAGUACUUG